RNAcentral lists this ribosomal RNA (431 nucleotides) under uncultured eukaryote. RNAcentral describes it as "bacterial SSU rRNA". It matches the Rfam family "Eukaryotic small subunit ribosomal RNA", at positions 592 to 1018 of the family's 1831-position model. The record is from RNAcentral.
CAAUAGCGUAUACUAAAGUUGUUGCAGUUAAAAAGCUCGUAGUUGAAUUUCUGGUCGUGAAACGUGGUCCGUUCCGCAAGGAAUGUGUACUGUCGAUUCAUGUCCAUCCUCGGAGUUAGUGUGUAUUACUUUAAUCGGUCGUGCACAUGUCCUCCGUCAUUUACUGUGAGCAAAAUAGAGUGUUCAAAGCAGGCUUAUGCCGUUGAAUAUAUUAGCAUGGAAUAAUAAUCUAGGACUUCGGUUCUAUUUUGUUGGUUUCUUAGUACUGAAGUAAUGAUUGAUAGGGAUAGUUGGGGGUGGCUAGUAUUGACCGGCCAGAGGUGAAAUUCUUGGAUUCGGUCAAGACUAACUUAUGCGAAAGACAUUCACCAAGGAUGUCUUCUUUAAUCAAGAACGAAAGUUAGGGGGAGUCGAAGAUGAUCAGAUACCAU